GGUCCCUGAGAUCCUCUCUCUGCUGCCUGAUGCUCACUGCGCUGAGCCCCACGACAGAGCAGCCUCGGUGGACUCCUGGUCCCAUUCACCCAGCUGUGGGUGUGCUGAAGUCUAAGUUCUUGUCAACCAGUAAUUCUGAGAAAACCUGGCACUGUGACCCUUUGACCCCGGAAUUCACAUCUGCCCUGUGGUGAAGGCACCUCCUGGCCAUGGGCUCCAUGAUAGCCAUCCACUGUAAGCCCACCUGCAGGAAGAGCUCAGGAGCCACUUUGUGGACAACACCUGAGGAAUGUGCACACUCCUACUGCACAUGGCAAGGCAUCACUACCAGUAUUAACCAUGCGAAGUCAAUGUCAAUCCUGGAGCUCAGCUCAUGGCAUCUCUCCAGCACCACACUUCUCAUUCACAGCUUGGUGCUGGGAUCAUCCCACACCAGGUGAGGGCAGCUGCUUCCCUGCCAGCCCAGAGAGGCUUCCAGGGAGGGAUAGUGUCUCCAGGCACAAAGCAGGUGGCUGUGGACAGCAAGUUCACUGGGAUAUGGCAGAGCAGCUCAGCAUCACUUACCAGCUUCUUUCUUGGUGGCAGAAGACAGUGUGGCAAAAUAUUCUUGAAAAUUAAAGCACCAGUCAUUUCUGACAUUUAUUUUUUGUUCCUUCACGCUUAAUGUUAUUCAGAUACUUGAAACUGCAGU
RNAcentral lists this long non-coding RNA (691 nucleotides) under Gallus gallus (chicken). RNAcentral describes it as "long non-coding RNA NONGGAT009189". The record is from RNAcentral. Lineage: Eukaryota; Metazoa; Chordata; Aves; Galliformes; Phasianidae.